This 442-nucleotide long non-coding RNA is filed under the name Mytilus galloprovincialis (Mediterranean mussel). The record is from RNAcentral. Lineage: Eukaryota; Metazoa; Mollusca; Bivalvia; Mytilida; Mytilidae.
UACACUGUAAAAAGAUUUGGGUCCAGAAUUUUAAAGGAAAAUAGUGAUUUGGUCCAGCUGAAAAGGGUUUUAAAUUAGCACUUCGGAAGCUGUCAAAAGAUUUUAAGACGCCCUAAACAUAAAAUUGUCCAUAUUUUGAGUUAGAGACGAUGAAGUUUUCUAUAAUUUUGAUAUAAUUUGUCCCAAAAGUAGUACAACACACUGUAAAAGUUUCUUUGAAAAAGCGCAGGUGGGAUUUUUUUAUUUUCAUUUAUGUUCUAAAAGAAAUGCACUACGAAAUAAUUGUGGUCUCGGACCAUUUGGGCCAUUUCUAAGAUUUAAACCGUGUAUAUUGAAGACACAUUGUAUUGUAUCUUCUUUUGUUGACUAGUAUAUUUACUAAUUAAACGUGCCUAAAUGUGUAUUUCCAAUACUGAUAAUGCAUAUAAGUAAUCAAUAUCUG